Pezoporus occidentalis (night parrot) is the source of this 165-nucleotide small nuclear RNA. RefSeq annotates it as U1 spliceosomal RNA. Lineage: Eukaryota; Metazoa; Chordata; Aves; Psittaciformes; Psittacidae. The transcript has a single exon. The record is from RefSeq and is a predicted model, not a curated record.
AUACUUACCUGGCAGGGGAGACACCAUGAUCAAGCAGGUGGUUUUCCCAGGGCGAGGCUCAUCCCUUGCACUCCGCGUGUGCUGACCCCUGCGAUUUCCCCAAAUGCGGGAAACUUGACUGCAUAAUUUGUUUUUUUCUUUUUUUUUUUUUUUAUGAGGAAAUAC